Long non-coding RNA from Ipomoea triloba (trilobed morning glory), 698 nucleotides. RefSeq lists it as uncharacterized. The record is from RefSeq and is a predicted model, not a curated record. The transcript has 3 exons. Lineage: Eukaryota; Viridiplantae; Streptophyta; Magnoliopsida; Solanales; Convolvulaceae.
AAAUCACAAUAUAAGACCAGCCCACUAGUAAGGGACUUGUGAGCAAUCUGCAAUUACACAAUCGAGGUUACCCAAAUCUUGAUUCCAAUCCCUUCUUAACAAGUGACAAAACAUUCGAUCAGGUAUGAAGGUGCGAUCAUCGGUGAAGAAAAUGUGUGCUUUCUGCCGCACAAUCAGGCGACACGGGGUAGUAUAUGUGAUAUGCUCAGCUAAUCCCAAGCACAAGCAGCGACAGGGCUUUAUAGCAUAUGCAUACGAGGGACCUAUAUCCACCAUGUCUCUGGUGAUAACUCCAAAACAGGAGAAGACGCCUCUUGGCUUUGGUAUCAGCAGCUCCUUGCCUUCUCUUAUAUCCGAAAACGGUGAGGCAUCUAUGAAUCCAUGGCGGAGAAAGGGUAUGGCUCCCGUUAAUCUGCUCAACCCAGCCGCUAAGCACUCGAUUCUGCGAGCAUUAUAAGCUCAUGAACUCUGCUCCAUCAUCACACACAAAGAUGCCAUAUAUUUUGCAUUGUCUGAGAGCAGCAGUUGUAACUUACCAACUGGAAACAUCAUGUUUAACACUUUUGUUUUGUGUGAUAUGUUGGAAUCAUGAUCUGUUAUUCAUUGCAGAUUUGCAGCUGAAAAUAUAAUUCAUGUAUUUGUGGCUAACAAUCAUGUGAAUUGAAUGAGAAAUUUUUCAUAUUGCCCGAACGGGCUUA